AUGUUAGAACAAUCUAUUAACAUUCUGUGCUGGAACGUGAGGGGUCUAAACUGUUUGGACUGUCGAACUACUGUGCAUGAGACCAUUGCAGCUUCAUCUUGUCAGAUUGUGUGCCUCCAAGAGUCCAAGUUAGACAACGUUGACAAGUUCACUGCUGCAUAUCUGGGAGGUUUUCGCCUUCGUAGCUACGCCCAGUUACCGGCGGUGGGCACCCAUGGUGGCAUCCUAAUGAUCUGGGAUGAUUCCGUCAUUGACAUCAAUGACAUUGUGGCGCUAGAAUUCCGCCUCUUCGCCUCGGUCACCUUGCGUGAGUCUAGCACCACCUUCAAGAUCUCCACCGUCUAUGGCCCUUCUACUGCCUCGAGAAAGGAUGAUUUCUUCGCUGAGUUGAUCACCCAAAAGCCCGCAUCCGGAUCCAAGUGGCUGGUCCUAGGCAACUUCAACCAAAUCUAUCGGGCCCGUGACAAAAAUAAGCGCAAUAUUAAUAGAAGUCACAUCACCCGCUUCCGCAACGCCCUUCAAUCAUGUGAGCUCAAAGAGAUCCACCUUCAAAACCGUCGUUUCACCUGGAGCAAUAAAAGGAUAAAUCCUACUUUGUGCAAGCUUGACUCCUUUUUCUGCAACGCCGAAUGGGACAUUCACUUCAACACUCACAUUCUUCAUGCCCUGUCCUCAUCGCUCCCGGACCAUUUCCCGCUGUUGCUUGCCAAUGAUUGUGGCCCUAGAAGACCUCGGAGCUUUAAAUUUGAAAUUUUUUGGACUUCCCUUCCGAGUUUCAAUGAGAUUGUGCAUAAGGCUUGGAAUGAGCCUUCGGUGCACACCAAACCUUAUCAAGUGUUGUUCCAUAAGCUCAAAAAGACUGGUGUCCGGCUUUCCGAAUGGAGUAGAAGCCUCUUCUCCAAGUCCAAACUCCAUCUGCAUGCCGCCCUUCGAAUCAUUCUUGAGCUUGAUGUGGCACAAGAAUCUCGCACCUUAAGCCUUGCCGAACAUGAUCUUCGGGCUCGUCUCAAGAAAAGAGUGGUCAGUUUGGCGGUCCUUGAGCGUUCAAGGAAAACAAUGUGCCCGCAUUUCCAAUUUGCAGGAGGGCGAUGCCAAUACCAAAUACUUCCAUAG
RNAcentral lists this ribosomal RNA (1113 nucleotides) under Triticum aestivum (bread wheat). RNAcentral describes it as "partial small subunit ribosomal RNA". Lineage: Eukaryota; Viridiplantae; Streptophyta; Magnoliopsida; Poales; Poaceae. The record is from RNAcentral.